RNAcentral lists this ribosomal RNA (244 nucleotides) under uncultured bacterium. RNAcentral describes it as "partial 16S ribosomal RNA". It matches the Rfam family "Bacterial small subunit ribosomal RNA", at positions 533 to 776 of the family's 1533-position model. The record is from RNAcentral.
CGCAAGCGUUAUCCGGAAUUAUUGGGCGUAAAGAGCUCGUAGGCGGUUUGUCGCGUCUGCCGUGAAAGUCCGGGGCUCAACUCCGGAUCUGCGGUGGGUACGGGCAGACUAGAGUGAUGUAGGGGAGACUGGAAUUCCUGGUGUAGCGGUGAAAUGCGCAGAUAUCAGGAGGAACACCGAUGGCGAAGGCAGGUCUCUGGGCAUUAACUGACGCUGAGGAGCGAAAGCAUGGGGAGCGAACAGG